UUGAACGCUGGCGGCAUGCUUUACACAUGCAAGUCGAACGGCAGCGGGGGCUUCGGCCUGCCGGCGAGCGGCGCACGGGUGAGUAACGCGUGGGAACCUGCCCUUAGGUUCGGAACAACCGCGGGAAACUGCGGCUGAUACCGGAUGAUGUCUUCGGACCAAAGAUUUAUCGCCUUUGGAGGGGCCCGCGUCGGAUUAGGUAGUUGGUGAGGUAACGGCUCACCAAGCCUGCGAUCCGUAGCUGGUCUGAGAGGAUGACCAGCCACACUGGGACUGAGACACGGCCCAGACUCCUACGGGAGGCAGCAGUGGGGAGUAUUGGACAAUGGGGGCAACCCUGAUCCAGCAAUGCCGCGUGGGUGAUGAAGGCCUUCGGGUUGUAAAGCCCUUUCGGCGGGGACGAUGAUGACGGUACCCGCAGAAGAAGCCCCGGCUAACUUCGU
RNAcentral lists this ribosomal RNA (443 nucleotides) under uncultured bacterium. Its description in RNAcentral is "bacterial SSU rRNA". It matches the Rfam family "Bacterial small subunit ribosomal RNA", at positions 29 to 506 of the family's 1533-position model. The record is from RNAcentral.